This 429-nucleotide ribosomal RNA is filed under the name Bacteroidota bacterium. RNAcentral describes it as "Bacteroidetes bacterium partial 16S ribosomal RNA". It matches the Rfam family "Bacterial small subunit ribosomal RNA", at positions 355 to 776 of the family's 1533-position model. Lineage: Bacteria; Pseudomonadati; Bacteroidota. The record is from RNAcentral.
UAGGGAAUCUUCGGCAAUGGGGGGAACCCUGACCGAGCAACGCCGCGUGAGUGAAGAAGGUUUUCGGAUCGUAAAGCUCUGUUGUUAAGGAAGAACGAGUGUGAGAAUGGAAAGUUCAUGCUGUGACGGUACUUAACCAGAAAGGGACGGCUAACUACGUGCCAGCAGCCGCGGUAAUACGUAGGUCCCGAGCGUUGUCCGGAUUUAUUGGGCGUAAAGCGAGCGCAGGCGGUUAGAAAAGUCUGAAGUGAAAGGCAGUGGCUCAACCAUUGUAGGCUUUGGAAACUGGUGAACUUGAGUGCAGAAGGGGAGAGUGGAAUUCCAUGGGUAGCGGUGAAAUGCGUAGGUAUAUGGAGGAACACCGGUGGCGAAAGCGGCUCUCUGGUCUGUAACGGACGCUGAGGCUCGAAAGCGUGGGGAGCGAACAGG